Brassica napus (rape) is the source of this 1239-nucleotide long non-coding RNA. RefSeq lists it as uncharacterized. The transcript is spliced from 3 exons. The record is from RefSeq and is a predicted model, not a curated record. Lineage: Eukaryota; Viridiplantae; Streptophyta; Magnoliopsida; Brassicales; Brassicaceae.
CAACCACCCGCAUCCGCAAACCGCUGCUGCGGUUACACUAGUCAGGCCCUAAAUUGGUCGACAGCAAGGCCUCGUCCUUCACCUUCACCUGCCUCCUUAGUUUCAAACCCACCUGAAAAUCUGACGUCUGUAACUCUUCCUGGUGAUCGCUCCAACUCCCUCUGUUUCUCUCAUUAUAUAAAUCCCUUCUCCGUACAAAGCUCGAAGCACGUUCUUCAAGCUCCAUGCAACCACAUCAGGCAAUUGGCAAUGAGAUCGGAAAAAUCCAGCAGCAAUUCUCCAUUUGUCUGUUUUUCUGGCGACAUCCCAGGGACGGAUCUAAGUUCCCAUUUAAUCCACUUCUGGAAGGCUAGAAACACUGCAAAAACUGGUUCUUAUUGAAGAGCGGUGAUGCAAGGGUUCAGCUCAUCAAAUCGUGGUCCAAGAUACCAACCUCACCUCAAACCGGGAACCACUUAUAUCCUCAUCAAAAUCGUUGCUGAUCACAGUUUAAUGACAGACAGGUUCAGGUUCCACUUAUAUGAAGAUUUUGAAGCCAACUUUGGGCUCAAGCGACAUCUAUAGUAAGUUUUAUAUCCUCUACAACUUAUUCACUUACCUGUUGUGUAAUCGAAUAAUGUAGAUGUUGUUAGACACAUGAAGCUAAUCAAUGGACAGUCUCUCAUAGACUAACCCGUCCCUGAUAAAGUGGGAAUAAAAACUGUAUCUUGGUUCAUUUACAACCUAACGAGUAUGUUGUUUGCAGUAUAUGUUAGUCACAACGAUCAACACUAAACGAAUUGGUGGUAAUCAUUAGUCCCUUUUGCAUAACUACCUCCGUGCUUUGGUCUUUGAUUUUUUUUGUUUUGCAAAUCAUGUGUGAAUGUAAGAUCGUGACACAUAAUGGUGAGACAGGAGAGAUUUUAAGCUCCUGUAAAAAAAAAAAAAGAAAGAGAUGUCCAUGCACAGAAAGAAGAGAACAAUAUAUAGAGGAUUUAGUUCUUCCAUUGGCAAGGAACUUCCAGAACGGAAAUGGCCUAUCCAGAUAUCACUUUAAGAGAGAGAAGCACAAGUUCUAAUGUUAUGUUUCAGAGGAUGAACAAGCAAUAGACUAUAUCUCACCUCAGAUUGAUUAACCGAAGGCUAAGGGUGAGUCUGUAUCUAGUGGAGGUGCUCUAAUUUUUUCUGGUGGGUGUGAUUACACAUGAGAACCUUUCUUCUUUCUGAGUUUUUGAAUAUUUUCUCUUUCACACAUAUUGU